RNAcentral lists this small RNA (107 nucleotides) under Arabidopsis thaliana (thale cress). RNAcentral describes it as "ATSL089780". The record is from RNAcentral. Lineage: Eukaryota; Viridiplantae; Streptophyta; Magnoliopsida; Brassicales; Brassicaceae.
AUUUGACUGCAAAACAAUAACCAAGCUACUUCUUGCUUCUCAUAGCUUUGAUGGUGUAGCCAAAGUCCGUAUGAGUCUUUGGUUUUGUAUCUUCUAGCAUGGAAACA